GUCGCUGUCGAUUAGUGGUUAAAUCGCGUCGUUGUGGUUGUUCACAAGUCUAUCCCGACGAGCCCCAGGUUCAAUUCCUGGCAGCGACA
Molecule: non-coding RNA, 89 nt
Organism: Gloeophyllum trabeum ATCC 11539
Lineage: Eukaryota; Fungi; Basidiomycota; Agaricomycetes; Gloeophyllales; Gloeophyllaceae
Source: the annotation of a RefSeq genome assembly